GAUGAAGAACGUAGCGAAAUGCGAUAAGUAAUGUGAAUUGCAGAAUUCAGUGAAUCAUCGAAUCUUUGAACGCAUCUUGCGCUCCUUGGUAUUCCGAGGAGCAUGCCUGUUUGAGUGUCAUUUAAAUUCUCAACCACACCAGAUUUCUUUCUGAUGUGGCUUGGAUGUGGGGGUUUUGCUGGCUUUUUAUACAUUGAAGUCGGCUCCCCUAAAAUGAAUUAGUAGUAUCUGAGCAGAGAAAGUACUACAGGUGUGAUAAAUUAUCUAUGCCUCUAGUAUGCUGCAUGAAACAGAUUGUGCUGCUUCUAAAAAAAUAUUUGAUUGAUGAAUUUGACCUCAAAUCAGGUAGGACUACCCGCUGAACUUAAGCAUAUCAAUAAGCGGAGGA
This 388-nucleotide unclassified non-coding RNA is filed under the name soil metagenome. Its description in RNAcentral is "partial contains 5.8S ribosomal RNA, internal transcribed spacer 2, and large subunit ribosomal RNA". The stretch from base 1 to 120 matches the Rfam family "5.8S ribosomal RNA", at positions 35 to 154 of the family's 154-position model. The record is from RNAcentral.